GAGGGUAUAGCUCAGUGGUAGAGCGCGUGCUUAGCGUGCACGAGGUCCUGGGUUCAAUCCCCAGUACUUCCA
This 72-nucleotide transfer RNA is filed under the name Camelus bactrianus (Bactrian camel). It matches the Rfam family "tRNA". From Rfam's summary of the family: Transfer RNA (tRNA) molecules are approximately 80 nucleotides in length. Their secondary structure includes four short double-helical elements and three loops (D, anti-codon, and T loops). The record is from Rfam by way of RNAcentral. RNAcentral also lists the same sequence under 2 other names. Lineage: Eukaryota; Metazoa; Chordata; Mammalia; Artiodactyla; Camelidae.